ACUGGCUUAAUUACUAUGCAAAAAGCCUCAAGCAACAGAGAAAAAGUUGAUGCUAUGCAAAGACUGUAUAAAUGAAGCACAUGGAGCCUUGUUGAGUGUGAAGUCUGAAUUUGAAAGCAAUGAAAAAAUCUUACUAAAUAUUGGAAGAACUUUAUGAGAAAUGUGAUGUCCAAAACUUUCUCAUUGUUUCCAGCAUGAACGUUAUGAAUAUUUAUAGCUCCUAAGAUAAAUAAUUGAAUAAAUCCACAAAAUUGUUAGACUGUCUAAGCCAUCAGCACCCUACGACAAUCUAUUUUGGGUCUAUCUGCUUUCUGCAUACUUAGAUAAGAUUAUUGUUAUUAUGCAUGACUCUUGGGUGAACAUCUGUUAUUAAAAUCUUUAGUAAAUUGCACAUGGGCUCAAAGACAUCUCUGACGGGCUAGUCUUACAUACAUUGGCAGGUACUGCCUACUUUCUCUCUCUUUCCAUUAAUUAACAUUCAAACAGAAAGAAAUGGGAUGCAAUGAAUGGAGUGGUGUAGUUCUAAAUUUCUGAAGCAUGUUUUCCAAUUUCAGUCCAUGUACCUGCACACUGCUACAUUGGUCUGAAAUCUGGAUGAAUGGGAAUUUCAAUCCAGGAGUGACUGGGGUCGACACUGAGACUACACGCUGGUGGGAAGAAGGCUUACACAGUCUCAGAGCUCCCAUGUGACUACAAUUCCUGUCAUCUGCAGCUGGUCUCACCAAGAACUGGAAAUAUGCAGUUUUCAAAGCUAUGGCAGCAGGCUUACCUGUCAGCUGAGAGAGCAGUGAGAGUGAAGACUGACACCCCUACAGAAGUGAGCUGUAUGAAGGGGAUAAGUUUACAUCCAAUUCUGCCAAAGAGCCACUCAUCAGCAAGGUACCUACUGGCAUCCACAGGCACGCAAGUCACUAAGAGCAGCAGGUCUCCCAAAGCCA
Anas platyrhynchos (mallard) is the source of this 938-nucleotide non-coding RNA. The record is from RefSeq and is a predicted model, not a curated record. NCBI's taxonomy places the organism in Eukaryota, Metazoa, Chordata, Aves, Anseriformes, Anatidae.